UACGGAGGAUGCAAGCGUUAUCCGGAUUUAUUGGGUUUAAAGGGUGCGCAGGAUGUUUGAUAAGUCAGUGGUGAAAGUCUGUCGCUUAACGGUAGGAUUGCCAUUGAUACUGUUGGACUUGAAUAUGGAUGAGGUAGGCGGAAUGUGUAGUGUAGCGGUGAAAUGCAUAGAUAUUACACAGAACACCGAUUGCGAAGGCAGCUCACUAAUCCAUCAUUGACGCUGAGGCACGAAAGCGUGGGGAU
RNAcentral lists this ribosomal RNA (245 nucleotides) under uncultured prokaryote. RNAcentral's name for it is "partial 16S ribosomal RNA". It matches the Rfam family "Bacterial small subunit ribosomal RNA", at positions 524 to 768 of the family's 1533-position model. The record is from RNAcentral.